AACGAACGCUGGCGGCAUGCCUAACACAUGCAAGUCGAACGAGACCUUCGGGUCUAGUGGCGCACGGGUGCGUAACGCGUGGGAAUCUGCCCUUAGGUUCGGAAUAACUUUGGGAAACUGAAGCUAAUACCGGAUGAUGACGUAAGUCCAAAGAUUUAUCGCCUAAGGAUGAGCCCGCGUUGGAUUAGCUAGUUGGUGAGGUAAAGGCUCACCAAGGCGACGAUCCAUAGCUGGUCUGAGAGGAUGAUCAGCCACACUGGGACUGAGACACGGCCCAGACUCCUACGGGAGGCAGCAGUGGGGAAUAUUGGACAAUGGGCGAAAGCCUGAUCCAGCAAUGCCGCGUGAGUGAUGAAGGCCUUAGGGUUGUAAAGCUCUUUACCCGGGAUGAUAAUGACAGUACCGGGAGAAUAAGCUCCGGCUAACUACCGUGCCAGCAGCCGCGGUAAAGUGACUACUG
This 460-nucleotide ribosomal RNA is filed under the name uncultured bacterium. Its description in RNAcentral is "bacterial SSU rRNA". It matches the Rfam family "Bacterial small subunit ribosomal RNA", at positions 29 to 532 of the family's 1533-position model. The record is from RNAcentral.